GGCACCUGUAGUCCCAGCUACUCAGGAGGCUGAAGCAGGAGAAUUGGUUGAACCCGGGAGGUGGAGGUUGCAGUGAGCCGAGAUCGCACCACUGCAUUCCAGCCUGGCGACAGAGCGAGACUCCUCAAGGUGCAUCCAAAAAAAGAAAGACCAGAGGACCCAGCAAUGCUACCUCUGGAUGCACACACACAAGGAAGGACAGGACGGACUCAAACAGAAGCUUGCACACGCAGGUGCACAGCAGCACGACUGCCAACAGCCACAAGGUGGAAACCACCCAGACGUCCAUUGAUGAGAGAUGGAUCAACACAGCGUGGCCCAUCCACACAGUGGAAUAUUACUGAGCCACAAAAAGGAAGAGAAUCCGGACACGGGCUUCAGCAUGGAUGCACCUUGAGGACAUCACGCUCAGUGAGAGACGCCGGAGACACAGAAGGACACACCCCGCAUGGUUCCACUCCUAGGAGGUCCAUAGAGCCUGAGAUUCACGGCGACAGAAGGAAAAAAUAACUGAAGGAAGGCUGCAGAGGUCCCACAUCCGCAGCUUACAGAAACGGAGGCCUGGAGGGCAUGGCUUCCCCACUGGCGCCCUGGAAGGUGAGGGGCAGGCUGGCCUGGGACCUGGGCUCCUCCCCGUCUCACUCCCUUGUCCCCAGCCCCCAAACAAGGUGGCGUUUCCCAAGCGGGUUGCUCUGGCCUGGUGCUAGUGAAAUGAACUUGUAGUGAAGGGUCAAACAAGAUGACAGGGAAGGGGCCCCGGGACACCGUGCGGAGGCACCCAGGCGGCCCCACUGAGGUCAGGCAAUGCCCUAGGCAACUCCAGGGCUCCUGGGGGCCAGGCCUCUGCACACUCCCCCCCAGCCCCCUUCGAAGGCCAACAGGAAAUAAACCAGAAGGGGGCCGCCAGCAUUUAGGAACAAAAUUUAUUCCAAUUUAAAACAGAGUUCAUUUCAGGAGAAAGAUAUGAAAAGUCGACUUCCAUCGGUGUCUGGGUUAAGGGUCAGGGCCAGUGGCUGUGGGAGGUGACACUGAGCCGCUCCUCAGCCCCUCCUCCCAUCCCCGACGCGCACAACACAUGCAUUUCAAAUGGUAAAAGGCUUAAAAACAGCUUGUAUAGAAUAUUCUUUUUUAAAUAGAUUAAGGUUGAAAUUGUCUGAAAUCAGGACUGUGUAAUAUACAAGUAUCACCGGGUCCCGUCCACCAGGCCAGCCACAGGAUCCGCUGCCACCACUGGGGGACACUGGCAUGGGGAUGCCCCCCUGGGGGAGCCGGGGGACCCAGGGCAUGGGUUCGCAGUGGCCGGGCGGGGGCUGCUGCCGCCUGGGCAUAACAUGGUCGGAGAAGGUGGUCGGCACUCACAAGAAAGCGUUGGCAGGUGAGAUUCACCAAGGUAAAAACACACCCCACAUGUGGCCCCAUAAGUGGCAAGGGUGGGGGUUGGCUGUCCCUGCCCCUGGGUGCCACUGGCACAAGAACCACUGCCUGGGACUCUCCUGGGGCAGGCACCCCUGACCCGGGCCUGCAACACCUACCUCCACUUUUUUGGGGGGCAGGAGAUCAGGCACUCAGACCCAGAGGAUCCAGGCCAAGACGUUUUGGUGGCCCCAGCCCAGCUCUGGGAUGCUUGGCACGGCCCCCUCCCUGGGAAGGCCUAAUACUUAGCCCCGCAGCGCCCCGGCCUCUGUGCUGGGCGACUCCACCCUCAGGCCACAGCCAGGUCACCUUGUGCAAUCUGGGCCCUCAGAGAUGCCACAAGCACAGGCCCCCCAGAGGGCUCCGCUGCUGGAAAAGGUUGCAGCGGCCCUGCCAGGGGUGGCCCCAUCUGCUCCCCCAGGGCACCGCCGGGCCCCAGCACUCGCCGUGGGGGGCUUCUGGCGCCAACCCUCUUAGGUAGACACCUGCACAAAAAAAAGAUGCUUCUGGGUGAGACAGAAGUGGUGUGGGGAAGUCGGUGGGGGUCCCGCCAGCCCCGUCUCCCCAUGGGGCUGAUCACCAGAAAUGUAGCUGCCCUGACCUGGUCUCCCCUGACCCCUCCACGGGGCUCCCCGCUCUUCUGCCCCUGGAAGCCAGCAGACAGCCCUGCAGACGAGGAGGCCAGGGCAGGCCUGACAGUGGCGGGCAGGCAGGCGGCAACUGCUGGUCGGGGUGGUCAUAUUUUGG
This is a long non-coding RNA of Pongo pygmaeus (Bornean orangutan), 2160 nucleotides long. RefSeq lists it as uncharacterized. The record is from RefSeq and is a predicted model, not a curated record. NCBI's taxonomy places the organism in Eukaryota, Metazoa, Chordata, Mammalia, Primates, Hominidae. The transcript is spliced from 2 exons.